GCACAAGCGGUGGAUGAUGUGGUUUAAUUCGAUGCAACGCGAAAACCUUACCCACCUUUGACAUGUACGGAAUCCUUUAGAGAUGGAGGAGUGCUCGAAAGAGAGCCGUAACACAGGUGCUGCAUGGCUGUCGUCAGCUCGUGCCGUGAGGUGUCCGGUUAAGUCCGGUAACGAGCGCAACCCUCGCCAUAUGUUACAAGUGUCAUAUGGGACUGCCGAUAUAAAGUCGGAGGAAGUGGGAUGACGUCAAGUCAGCAUGGCCUUUAUGUCCGGGGCUACACACACGCUACAAUGGCCGGUACAAUAGGUAGCAAGACCGCGAGGUGGAGCCAAUCCUAAAAGCCGGUCUCAGUUCAGAUUGCAGGCUGCAACUCGCCUGCAUGAAGUCGGAAUCGCUAGUAAUCGCAGGUCAGCAUACUGCGGUGAAUACGUUCCCGGGCCUU
RNAcentral lists this ribosomal RNA (443 nucleotides) under uncultured Anaerolineaceae bacterium. RNAcentral's name for it is "bacterial SSU rRNA". It matches the Rfam family "Bacterial small subunit ribosomal RNA", at positions 923 to 1382 of the family's 1533-position model. Lineage: Bacteria; Bacillati; Chloroflexota; Anaerolineae; Anaerolineales; Anaerolineaceae. The record is from RNAcentral.